GGAGCAGCAUCAGCAGGAGGCGCCCUCGCCGGUCUGGCUCAGAGGCAUCCUGGAGGCGCGUCUCCCUCUCUGUCUCUCCCGACUUUCGUUGUUCUCUGGACGUCCAGGCUCUCUGUGCCCGCUCCGGUGUAGGAGCCGCAUGUCAGGUCUCCGGAGACGCGACCGCGGAUUUGGAAACCUUGCGACGGCGGCAGCGCCUCUCCCUCCCUCCUCAUGCCGCUGCCCCUGGGCGCCGCCUUCUUCAUCGCCCUACUGCAGGUGCUCCAAGCGCAGAAGCAAGACAUGAUUCCUCAGAACAGCACCACUGAGGCGUCAGUGGUAUCCUUCCAUGAUGUAUGGAAUCGCAGCUUAUGCCAGCCUUUGGAAAAGCUGGUCAAUGUUGUGUCGGAGUACCCCAGUGAAGUUGAGCAUGUGUUCAGCCCUCCCUGCGUUCCUUUGCACCGCUGCAGUGGAUGCUGCCAGGAUGAGAGGCUCCAGUGCAUCCCAGUGGAGACAGCCAAUGUCACCAUGCAGCUUGUGAAGAUUAAUUCAGAGAAGCCUAUGCCAUAUGUAGAACUGUCCUUUGUGGAGCACAGGAAAUGUGUCUGCAGGCACUAUGUUCCAACUGUGACUCUGUAUCUCUUCUUGUGCCUAGGCCGCGGCAAGACGUUUUGAAAUCAGGGAGGAGGAGGAGACCCAAGGGACGCAGCAAGAGGAAGCGAGCAAAGCAGAAAAUCAAAAAUUGAUCUCUAUGUGUACCGUUUGAUGGAGACGGAUGCUUUGUCAGCAGAUGGCUGACAAAUGCCACGAUGGCUGCUUUUAUUACUCAGUCCUCAUCAACACUUCUCUACCCAUGAAACCAAUUGCAUUUUUGACUGAUUAAUUCGAGGGGAGUCCCAGCAGCUCCCUUGCUUGCAACUCCUGACCAAAAAAGGAGAGACAACACUGCAGUAGAAAUAUAUCAGGCCAUUAUUAGGAAUAUGCCUAUUAUAAUCCCAUCAGAGCAUGCUGUUGCAGGAGCAGGCAAAUGCAGCAGCUGGACAGGAAGCUGUGUGCUUGUCUAGAUCUGUGUCCUGCUUAUACAUACCCAGUAUUUCACAUGGAUAUCUGCAGAACAUGGAUUAAAAUGGAAGCAUGAGCAAAGAGUAGUUGUCCUGACGGAUAGGUACAACAUUUUCUAGUUUGAAGAACCUAAAAUGAACCAGCUCAGUACUGAAGCUGAACUGUCUGGAUGCUUCGACAUAUCCUACUGGAGAUUGAGAUAUAAAAAAACCUCACAAAACAAGAAGGAUUUGAGUCAAGCUUGUUGUCUUGUUUUCCAUCAAGCCUGCUGCACUGGAAACACUUUGUUGGUGAAGGACUUGGAUUUCAGAAGAAACGAUACUUCUUCAGCUUCAGCGCAUCUAAUAAUAUCUUUAAUUUUGUUGAAUGGAUAGAUGGACAAAGUUUUCUCGUCAAGGAGCAUCCUGGAGACAGUGGGAAGAGUUUUCCCAUUUUGAGGCAGCAAGUCCUGGUCCAAAGGAAGCUCUAGCAUGAAGAGGCCUUGUCCUGGAAAUACGGCGAUGGGAAUUGGGAGAGCAGUACAUGAGGGGUACAAAUUGUUUGACUGGAAGAAGCCAUGCAAGAGGGUACCUCCCAAUCCUAAAUAAAUAAAUGUAUCUUUGAUAGUGUACAGAUUGAUUUUCCCUAAUAGAAUUAUAACAGUAUCUUGUGCUUGGCUAAUGUAGAGCUUGGAAAAGCUUAUUGGGGGCUGCAAACAUUUCUUGACCAGUGGGUUGCUGUGAGUUUUCUGGGCAGUAUAGCCAUGUUCCAGAAGCAUUAUCCCCUGACGUUUCUCCCACAUCUAUGGCAGGCAUCCUCCGAGGUGUGAGGCCUGUUGGAAACUAGGCAAGUGGGGUUUAUAUAUCUGUGAAAAGUCCAAGCUGGGCGAAAGAACUCUUGUCUGUUUGAGGCAAGUAUGAAUGUUGCAAUUGAUCACCUUGAUUAGCAUUUAAUGGCUUUGCAGAUUUAAACCCUGUUGUUGAGAGUUGGGAUCUGAUUAUUAGCUGGGCCUGAUUAUUUCUUGUCUGGAAUUCCCCUGUUCUCUGAGUGUUAUUCUUUAUUUACUGUCCCGAUUUUAGAGUUUUUAAUACUAAUAGCAAGAUUUUGUUCAUUUUCAUGAUUUCCUCCUUUCAGUUGAAAUUGUCUACAUGUUUGUGGUUUUCAAUGGCAUUUCUGUGUAGUCUGACAUGGCAGUUGUUUGAGUUGUUAGCAUUUUUCUGUUCUCAGGCAGGCUUUGAAUCUGCAAAGCCAUUAAAGGCUAAUCAAGGUGACCAAUUGCAACAUUCACACUUGCCCCAAACAGACAAGAGUUCUUUCUCCCAACCUGGACUUUCCGCAGAUAUGUAAACCCCACUUGCAUCGUUUCCACUUCUGAGGAUGACUGCCAUAGAUGUGGGCAAAAUGUCAGGAGAGAAUGCUUCUGGCAUAUGGCCAUACAGCCCAGAAAACUCACAGCAACCCAGUGAUUCCGGCCAUGAAAGCCUUCAACAACACAUUUUUUAACCAGCAUGCCACUUCACCUCUCCCAAAACUGGAGGAUUCUGAUCACUGUAGUCCAGAAAGUAACUUUUCCAGUUUGUGUUUCACAUGACAACAGUUGGACAUGCAUUUAUCUAUGAUGUUGCUCUGAAGUAAUUUGAUAGGCUUUUAUAGGGAGGCAGUUCUGGUCCAGUUCUUUUCCCCACUUAUUCUGUAACACAGUGGUUCUCAACCUGGGGUCUCCAGAUGUUUUUGGCCUUCAACACCCAGAAAUCCUAACAGCUUGUAAACUGGCUGGGACUUCUGGGAGUUGUAGGCCAAAAACACCUGGGGAUUCCAGGUUGAGGACCACUGCAAGUCUAAGAGGUCCCUUGCAUGGCACUUUAUCAUAUUUGAUUAUAACUAUUGUAGUAGCACCCAUUGAUCUUAUUUUACAAGCACAAUGAUCCAAAGACAAUUUAGAAUAAUAAAACAAUAAAACUUUAUUUGUAUUCCGCCCUAUCUCCCCGAGGAGGAGGUAUCAAAGCAUAUUUAGGUCACAAUAAAAGUCAAACUCACUGUGCAUAACUGAAGUUGAAUUCUUACAUUUGCUCUAGGAAGAAAUUCUGAUAUCAUUGCAAUAUUUUUAAAUGCAUUCCCAAAGACCCAACGGGAUUUUGGGACCUCCUAUAAAGAGAAUAAGAAAAAUGUAACCAAUCCUCUCUCUUCUAGUCUUUAAUUUGGCCCAAAACCCUGCUGCAGAAGGCCAUGAAACCCCCUGGAACAGUUUUUUGGGUGUCAGAAUUCUACAAGAGGGUUGCAAAAAUCCUGAUACAAUUGCAAGCAUUGCUUUGGAUUUAAGCCUAUGUUGUAUUUUGCAAAGAACACAGCUAUUAUGUGUAAUAUCUUGCUACAUGGGGUUUGCCUAAAAUCAUGUAGGCAAAAUUAUGCAAAAGAGGAAGUAUCAGCACUGUUUUUUCCCCCCUUGUAUUAAUAUCUAUGACAUGUUCUUAGUGAAAACAGACAACGGAGUAGGCCCUGGCAUGUUUACCAUGUUAGUACAUUUGCUCUGCAGUAUCCAGUAUAAGCCAAUGCUGAUUGACUAAACUUAUCUUUGAAUGGGUUUUGUGAUUAUAUUACAACCACUGGAUGGCAACUCAAUAUUUAUUCUGGUCUUGUGGAAGACUGUUUUAUUCUGUGGGGUCAAGUGGGGCUUAGGUCCUGCUUUUCCAUUCAGUGCAAUGUUGCAGCAACAUUCCAAAUAAAUUCUAAAUUAAA
RNA transcript from Anolis carolinensis (green anole), 3756 nucleotides. It is a transcript of the gene named placental growth factor, with no coding region annotated. NCBI's taxonomy places the organism in Eukaryota, Metazoa, Chordata, Lepidosauria, Squamata, Anolidae. The record is from RefSeq and is a predicted model, not a curated record. The transcript has 7 exons.